Molecule: ribosomal RNA, 329 nt
Filed under: uncultured eukaryote
Lineage: Eukaryota
Description: partial 18S ribosomal RNA
Rfam family: Eukaryotic small subunit ribosomal RNA
Source: RNAcentral
CCCUUAGAUGUUCUGGGCCGCACGCGCGCUACACUGAUACAUUCAACGAGUAUACAACCUUGGCUGAAAGGCCUGGGUAAUCUUUUGAAACUGUAUCGUGAUGGGGAUAGAUUAUUGCAAUUUUUAAUCUUCAACGAGGAAUUCCUAGUAAACGCAAGUCAUCAGCUUGCAUUGAUUACGUCCCUGCCCUUUGUACACACCGCCCGUCGCUCCUACCGAUUGAAUGGUCCGGUGAAGCGUUCGGACCGUGGCUCUCUGACGGUUCGCCGUCGGAUUGCCGUGGGAAGUUCGUUAAACCUUAUCAUUUAGAGGAAGGAGAAGUCGUAACA